Molecule: ribosomal RNA, 515 nt
Filed under: Proteus mirabilis
Lineage: Bacteria; Pseudomonadati; Pseudomonadota; Gammaproteobacteria; Enterobacterales; Morganellaceae
Description: bacterial LSU rRNA
Rfam family: Bacterial large subunit ribosomal RNA
Source: RNAcentral
AGUUGCAGGGUAUAGACCCGAAACCCGGUGAUCUAUCCAUGGGCAGGUUGAAGGUUGGGUAACACUAACUGGAGGACCGAACCGACUAAUGUUGAAAAAUUAGCGGAUGACUUGUGGAUGGGGGUGAAAGGCCAAUCAAACCGGGAGAUAGCUGGUUCUCCCCGAAAGCUAUUUAGGUAGCGCCUCGUGAACUCAUCUUCGGGGGUAGAGCACUGUUUCGACUAGGGGGUCAUCCCGACUUACCAACUCGAUGCAAACUGCGAAUACCGAAGAAUGUUAUCACGGGAGACACACGGCGGGUGCUAACGUCCGUCGUGAAGAGGGAAACAACCCAGACCGCCAGCUAAGGUCCCAAAGUCAUGGUUAAGUGGGAAACGAAGUGGGAAGGCUCAGACAGCCAGGAUGUUGGCUUAGAAGCAGCCAUCAUUUAAAGAAAGCGUAAUAGCUCACUGGUCGAGUCGGCCCGCGCGGAAGAUGUAACGGGGCUAAACCAUGCACCGAAGCUGCGGCAGCGA